Molecule: non-coding RNA, 74 nt
Organism: Myotis brandtii (Brandt's bat)
Lineage: Eukaryota; Metazoa; Chordata; Mammalia; Chiroptera; Vespertilionidae
Source: Rfam
GGCAGUUCUCAGGUGACGCACUCCAGAAUCGGGCUCCCUCCUCUCUGGUUCCAGUAUGUCACCCAAGAACUGCC